Molecule: ribosomal RNA, 406 nt
Filed under: uncultured bacterium
Lineage: Bacteria
Description: partial 16S ribosomal RNA
Rfam family: Bacterial small subunit ribosomal RNA
Source: RNAcentral
AUUGAACGCUGGCGGCAGGCCUAACACAUGCAAGUCGAACGAGUGGCGGACGGGUGAGUAAUGUCUGGGCAACUGCCUGAUGGAGGGGGAUAACUACUGGAAAAGGUAGCUAAUACCGCAUACCCUCGGAUGUGCCCAGAUGUGAUUAGCUAGUAGGUGGGGUAAAGGCUCACCUGGGCGACGAUCCCUCGCGGGUCUGAGAGGAUGACCAGCCACACUGGAACUGGGACACGAUCCAGACUCCAACGGGAGGCAGCAGUGGGAAAUAUUGCACAAUGAGCGCAAGCCUGAGGCAGCCAUGCCGGGUGUAUGAGGAAGGCCUUCGGGUUGUAAAGUACUUUCAGCGGGGAGGCGUUACCCGCAGAGGAAGCACCGGCUAACUCCGUGCCAGCCGCCGCGGUAAUUC